GCGGGCGUAGCCAAGUGGUAAGGCAAUGGAUUGUGACUCCAUUAUUCGCGGGUUCAAUUCCCGUCGUUCGCC
RNAcentral lists this transfer RNA (72 nucleotides) under Trebouxia aggregata. Its description in RNAcentral is "tRNA-His". It matches the Rfam family "tRNA". Rfam says of the family: Transfer RNA (tRNA) molecules are approximately 80 nucleotides in length. Their secondary structure includes four short double-helical elements and three loops (D, anti-codon, and T loops). The record is from RNAcentral. Lineage: Eukaryota; Viridiplantae; Chlorophyta; Trebouxiophyceae; Trebouxiales; Trebouxiaceae. RNAcentral also lists the same sequence under 7 other names.